RNAcentral lists this ribosomal RNA (288 nucleotides) under uncultured bacterium. RNAcentral describes it as "partial 16S ribosomal RNA". It matches the Rfam family "Bacterial small subunit ribosomal RNA", at positions 773 to 1060 of the family's 1533-position model. The record is from RNAcentral.
GUGGAUUAGAUACCCUGGUAGUCCACGCCCUAAACGAUGGGUACUAAGUGUCGGCGGGUUACCGCCGGUGCCGCACCUAACGGAGUAAGUACCCCGCCUGGGGAGUACGGCCGCAAGGUUGAAACUCAAAGGAAUUGACGGGGGCCCGCACAAGCGGUGGUGCAUGUGGUUUAAUUCGACGCAACGCGAAAAACCUUACCCAGGCUUGACAUGCUAGUGGUAAGAACCGGAAACGGGGAUGACCCUGAAAGGGGAGCUAGCACAGGUGCUGCACGGCUGUCGCCUACU